GAUGAACGCUAGCUACAGGCUUAACACAUGCAAGUCGAGGGGAAACGAUAGAGAAAGCUUGCUUUUUCUAGGCGUCGACCGGCGCACGGGUGAGUAACGCGUAUCCAACCUGCCCAUCACUUGGGGAUAACCUUGCGAAAGUAAGACUAAUACCCAAUGACGUCCAUAGAAGACAUCUGAAAUGGAUUAAAGAUUUAUCGGUGAUGGAUGGGGAUGCGUCUGAUUAGCUUGUUGGCGGGGUAACGGCCCACCAAGGCGACGAUCAGUAGGGGUUCUGAGAGGAAGGUCCCCCACAUUGGGACUGAGACACGGUCCAAACUUCUACGGGAGGCAGCAGUGAGGAAUAUUGGUCAAUGGACGAGAGUCUGAACCAGCCAAGUAGCGUGCAGGAUGACGGCCCUAUGGGUUGUAAACUGCUUUUAUAAGGGAAUAAAGUGGGAGUCGUGACUCCUUUUGCAUGUACCUUAUGAAUAAGGACCGGCUAAUUCCGUGCCAGCCGCCGCCGUAA
RNAcentral lists this ribosomal RNA (508 nucleotides) under uncultured bacterium. RNAcentral describes it as "partial 16S ribosomal RNA". It matches the Rfam family "Bacterial small subunit ribosomal RNA", at positions 28 to 523 of the family's 1533-position model. The record is from RNAcentral.